UACGUAGGGUGCGAGCGUUAAUCCGAAUUACUGGGCGUAAAGCGUGCGCAGGCGGUUGUGUAAGACAGGUGUGAAAUCCCCGGGCGUUAACCUGGAACUGCGCUUGUGACUGCAUAACUCGAGUGUGGCGGAGGGGGGUGGAAUUCCACGUGUAGCAGUGAAAUGCGUAGAGAUGUGGAGGAACACCGAUGGCGAAGGCAGCCCCUGGGUCAACACUGACGCUCAUGCACGAAAGCGUGGGGAGCAAACAGGAUUAGAUACCC
Molecule: ribosomal RNA, 263 nt
Filed under: uncultured bacterium
Lineage: Bacteria
Description: partial 16S ribosomal RNA
Rfam family: Bacterial small subunit ribosomal RNA
Source: RNAcentral